Oryctolagus cuniculus (rabbit) is the source of this 2489-nucleotide non-coding RNA. The record is from RefSeq and is a predicted model, not a curated record. Lineage: Eukaryota; Metazoa; Chordata; Mammalia; Lagomorpha; Leporidae.
CUGUCUCUCCUCUGUUUUGAUUCAAAACUGUUUUUUUUCCUCUCCAACACAAUAAGCUAGAAGUUCUGCUUUUGUGAAAUAUUCAAGAAUCAGUGGAUGUCCACUAUCUAGAAAAGUGAAAUGUCCUGAUUCAAUUCUUGCCAGCUGUAGACAUUGUUAAGAGAUUCUCUGAAAAAAAAAAUACAAAAGAAAACAUUGACCUGUAAUGUGUGCUCCAUUUCAACAUUAGCUGCUUUGUUCCAGUUUCUAUAGUGAAAUGGUUGAUUGGCCAGGGAAAGGAUUUUGGUAUGUGAGCUCCCCUCCCCGCUGAUUCAAAUGGCUAUUAAAGGGAGGAAGGCCUGGGUCACCUCAGGCCAGUAACCAAAACUGCUUGAGAGAGACAUUCUUCCAGCUCUGGGAGGGUUAGAAGUCGGUGAAUUUUAUCAAGCGUAUCUGGUUUUCCAGUUGACCUGCUCUGUGUUAGGUAAUGUUUUAAGAAGAAAAAGCAAACAAACAAACAAAAAAGGAUAUUUAAAGGGUGAGAAAGGAUAUUUAGAGGGUGAGAAAAUGUGAAGAUGGAUCAGAAUCGCUUUAUUAAUGGUGAAAACUGGAGCUGAUACAGGACAAGUUGUUUCUUCAAGACUGUGUGGCUGAUGAAUGGCAGAAUCUAGUUUCCAGACCAGAUUUGCGUAACAGUAGAUGCUACAAUCCCAAAUUAUAUGCCAUAUUUUUGUCUUCAUAUAUUUGUCACUGGAGACAAAACAUCUGUCUGUAUCUAUCCAUCUCCACGCAUUGUACAUUCAGGCCUAUACGCAGGUACACACAGGUAAACCCUGCCCCCACAAAGCCAUUAGUCUGAUAACAAACAUUGGGUUUGGAACACUAACCUGGCACUUACUACUGUUAUCUUGUGCUUACCUGUUUUCUCACAACUAGAUUCUGAGUCCAGGUGAUCAUGGAUGGGCUUGGACUAAUUUGCAUUUUUUGAGGGUAGAAGUGCUUGUGAUACAACUGCUGCUUUAUAUUAACACAGUAGACUUGGAAUGCACAUGAAUCUCAGUGACAAGCAAAGGGUUUUUACACAGAUCAUUAACAAAAGCAAAAUUACACUGGGACUGCAGGGUGCUCUUUGGGAAGAUAAAAACUUUGUAUUGUUGUAUCCCCUUAGCCACUAGAUGCGUCUCUCAUCCUGGAACAAAUAAUUGGAAUAAAUAUGUAGAAGUUUAUCAGAGCAUUAUUCUUCAACUUUUAAUAUAUUAAUGAGAACACGAUUAUCUUAUUGCUUAUUUUUAAAAGUCUUUAAAGUUAAAAAAUAGUCUUAGCACUUGAAAUACAAGUGGACUACAAUGUAGCAGAGCAGGCUUUUGAUCGUUUCUCACCCUCUUAGGUCCAGUACUUGCUUCACUGAAACACAUUUCAUACCUUCGUUAACAAUGAAGAAUAAAAUACCUUCAGUGUUUAGAUUCUUAAAGGCACAUUUUAUGUUUCCAAGCUGUCUGAAAGCCGUUGUUCAUGGUUAAUUAUCUAGGCCGCGUUACUCAUCUCCCUGUCUUAAUGAAGAGAGUCCAUCAGAUGUGACCUAACCUUUCUUUUCCUUAUGACUCAGCACCAUCAGGUUGACUAUUAGUUGUAACCUGUAGGGUCCCAGGGUGAUAGCCUGUGGUGUCAGCACUCAUAAGGGCCUGUACCUGUCUGCUUGAUUUCUGUCUUCAAUUCUGCCAUCUCAUGUCCUCUCACUGGUUUCUCUGGGUCUAUUUCAUGGGUACAGCUCAUUGUAUCUCUAAUUGCUUCUUUUCUCUUGGCUAAGGCUGAUCCAGGGAUUUCACGGGUACCAGACAAGUCAGCUACUUUCAGGUAAAUCUCUGAAUAUGUCUGUCAUGUCUGGUCUGUAGGCUCUGGGGUGACCUUAUUCAUCUUCAUGUAUCAAGUGUAUGAACUUGGUGUAAGUACAUUCCUCAAUAAUGCCAGUGUCUGUUGUUGGUGCUGUUAUAAUUGUUCGUUUCAAGAAAGAAGAUGUAUUUAGUUGAAUUUCUAGAGAGCUGUAUGCUGAAUCAGUGAGUCCAUUAUAAUUUACAACUACAGAGCAUCACCUAUUUUUUAAAAAAUAUUUUAUUUAUUUAUUUGAGAGGUAGAGUCACAGACGAAGAAAGGGAGAGUCAGAGAGAGAGGUCUUCCCUCUGCUGAUUCACUCCCCAAAUGGCUGCAGUGGCUGGAGCUGGGCCGAUCCAAAGCCAGGGGCCAGGAGCCAGGAGCCUCCUCCAGGUCUCCCAUGCAGGUGCAGGGACCCAAGCAUUUGAGCCAUCUUCUACUGCUUUCCCAGGGCAUAGCAGAGAGCCAGAUCAGAAAAGGAGCAGCAGAGGCAGGAACUGGUACCCAUAUGGGAUGGCGGCUCCGCAGGCAGAGGCCUAGUCCACUACAACACAGCGCCAGCCCUAUCACCUAUUUUAUUAAUUUGAAGGAAAACCAUUUUAAAAGGCAGCUUCUUGGGAAACAUUUUUAGAAAUAGUGAC